GGGCUAGUAGCGUAGUGGUUAUCGCGUUCGCUUUGCAUCUGCAUAUUGGGUUCCUUUGCGAAAGGUCUCCGGUUCAAAUCCGGACUAGUCCA
Molecule: transfer RNA, 92 nt
Rfam family: tRNA
About the family: Transfer RNA (tRNA) molecules are approximately 80 nucleotides in length. Their secondary structure includes four short double-helical elements and three loops (D, anti-codon, and T loops).
Source: Rfam